Molecule: ribosomal RNA, 328 nt
Filed under: uncultured eukaryote
Lineage: Eukaryota
Description: partial 18S ribosomal RNA
Rfam family: Eukaryotic small subunit ribosomal RNA
Source: RNAcentral
CCCUUAGAUGUUCUGGGCCGCACGCGCGCUACACUGAUGCAUUCAACGAGUCUAAAACCUGGUCUGAUAGGGCUGGGUAAUCUUUUGAAAGUGCAUCGUGAUUGGGAUAGAUUAUUGCAAUUAUUAAUCUUCAACGAGGAAUGCCUAGUAGGCGCAAGUCAUCAGCUUGCGUCGAUUACGUCCCUGCCCUUUGUACACACCGCCCGUCGCUCCUACCGAUUGGGUGUGCUGGUGAAAUGUUCGGAUCGGCCGUUUGUCGCGGUUUCCGCGUCAUGUGGCUGAGAAGUUCAUUAAACCCUCCCACCUAGAGGAAGGAGAAGUCGUAACA